CUCAACUUUUUUAGAAGAGAUGCAUUUAUUAGAUAAAAAACCAAUACAUGCUUUUAAAGUAUGGAAUUUGGUGAUUUACAAUAACUUAGCAAAUCGCAUAGUGAAAACAGGCGAUAAAUCAUUCAAGUUUCUGACCUAUCAGCUUUCGACGGUAUGGUAUUGGCUUACCGUGGCAGUGACGGUUAACGGGGGAUUAGGGUUCGAUUCCGGAGAGGGAGCCUGAGAAACGGCUACCACAUCUAAGGAAGGCAGCAGGCGCGCAAAUUACCCAAUUCUAACAGCAUAAGAGAGGUAGUGACAAGAAAUAACAAUACAAGGCAGUUAAAAUGCUUUGUAAUUGGAAUGAUAGAAAUUUAAACACUUUUUAAAGUAUCAAUUGGAGGGCAAGUCUGGUGCCAGCAGCCGCGGUAAUUCCAGCUCCAAUAGCGUAUAUUAAAAUUGUUGCAGUUAAAAAGCUCGUAGUUGAAUUUCUGCUAAAAAUAACCGGUCUGCUUUUAAUAAAGGUGGUAUCUUGGUGUGUUUUUAGCAAUAAUGUCCUUUGAAAUGUUUUUUACUUCAUUGUAAUAAAUUAUUUUCAGGAUUUUUACUUUGAGAAAAUUAGAGUGUUUCUAGCAGGCUAACGCUUUGAAUACUGCAGCAUG
RNAcentral lists this ribosomal RNA (641 nucleotides) under Hepatozoon felis. RNAcentral's name for it is "SSU rRNA". It matches the Rfam family "Eukaryotic small subunit ribosomal RNA", at positions 182 to 811 of the family's 1831-position model. Lineage: Eukaryota; Apicomplexa; Hepatozoidae. The record is from RNAcentral.